This 411-nucleotide unclassified non-coding RNA is filed under the name uncultured fungus. RNAcentral's name for it is "partial contains 5.8S ribosomal RNA, internal transcribed spacer 2, and large subunit ribosomal RNA". Lineage: Eukaryota; Fungi. The record is from RNAcentral.
AACGCAUCUUGCGCUCUCUGGUAUUCCGGGGAGCAUGCCUGUUUGAGAAUCGUAAAGCAAACUAAACUCAUAGCUGAUUUUGUCGGCUGUGGAAUUGGGCCGGAAUUCCUUUUCUCCUGGAGAGAAGGGGAUGGCCUGAAAUCGAGUAGGCCGUACCUGGGUAAAACCAGGUACCUCAGGACAGAAAAUUCGGCCCAAAGCAAAAUAAUAGUUAAUGCGGGUUUUUACCAGCGUUAUCCCAUUUUUUGCCUUGGGUUCUGGCCUGAAGAAUUUGGCCUGACACUUUUUUAUUCUCGGCCGUAAAACCGCUGAAGAAGAAAAAAGGAAUCAGAGUAUUUUGAUGGGCCGGUCAUCACGGCCGGCCUUGAACUCUUAGAUCUCAAAUCAGGCAAGACUACCCGCUGAACUUAA